UGGAAGGGAACGCAAACGCAAAGACAAAGGU
Molecule: non-coding RNA, 31 nt
Filed under: Mus musculus (house mouse)
Lineage: Eukaryota; Metazoa; Chordata; Mammalia; Rodentia; Muridae
Source: RNAcentral